UACAGAGGUGGCAAGCGUUGUUCGGAAUUACUGGGCGUAAAGCGUGCGCAGGCGGUUUUGUAAGUUAGAGGUGAAAGCCCGGAGCUCAACUCCGGAACUGCCUUUAAGACUGCAUCGCUAGAAUUGUGGAGAGGUGAGUGGAAUUCCGAGUGUAGAGGUGAAAUUCGUAGAUAUUCGGAAGAACACCAGUGGCGAAGGCGACUCACUGGACACAUAUUGACGCUGAGGUGCGAAAGCGUGGGGAGCAAACAGG
This 253-nucleotide ribosomal RNA is filed under the name uncultured bacterium. Its description in RNAcentral is "partial 16S ribosomal RNA". It matches the Rfam family "Bacterial small subunit ribosomal RNA", at positions 524 to 776 of the family's 1533-position model. The record is from RNAcentral.